GCCGAUGCUGCUGCAUGGCCAGUUUAUUACAUGUUACACCUGGAGGUCCUGAGGGGGCUUACGGCUGCUCUGAAAAUUAUGGUGAGAGGAGGAGACAAGAAAAAUUGCCUGCUGUGAAGUGCUGACACAUAACUUUUCAUGUCGGAGAGGAAAGAGAAGGGUUCUGAUGAUGAGGACACACUUUGCCAUGCAGGCCACUGGAUGCUGACUACUGAAGGUUAGGUUGUGUGUGACGGUGCUCAGCACAGCUUCAUGUCUGGCCUUCCCACUCUGUUCAUAACAUGUUACAUAUUCAGGCUUGAGUACCAGGAUGGGUCAGCGUGUCUCUUGGAGUCCACUGAAAGAGAGUGGAACAAGCAGCGUCAUCUAAAAUGCCAGGAUACAGAAGAAACAGGUUGCAGUGAACCCACAUGUCGCCGCUCUUCUAAACACAAUGAUGAAUAUUCAGUGUAAUCGAUGAAAA
This is a long non-coding RNA of Triplophysa dalaica, 463 nucleotides long. RefSeq lists it as uncharacterized. The record is from RefSeq and is a predicted model, not a curated record. NCBI's taxonomy places the organism in Eukaryota, Metazoa, Chordata, Actinopteri, Cypriniformes, Nemacheilidae. The transcript is spliced from 3 exons.